AACGAACGCUGGCGGCAGGCUUAACACAUGCAAGUCGAACGGAUGCGAGCAAUCGCGUCAGUGGCAGACGGGUGAGUAACGCGUGGGAACAUACCCUCCGGUUCGGAAUAGCUCAGGGAAACUUGGAUUAAUACCGGAUACGGCUGAGAGGCGAAAGAUUGAUUCGCCGGAGGAUUGGCCCGCGUUCGAUUAGCUAGUUGGUGAGGUAACGGCUCACCAAGGCGAUGAUCGAUAGCUGGUCUGAGAGGAUGAUCAGCCACAUUGGGACUG
This 270-nucleotide ribosomal RNA is filed under the name uncultured bacterium. RNAcentral's name for it is "partial 16S ribosomal RNA". It matches the Rfam family "Bacterial small subunit ribosomal RNA", at positions 29 to 321 of the family's 1533-position model. The record is from RNAcentral.